UACGGAGGGUGCGAGCGUUAAUCGGAAUAACUGGGCGUAAAGGGCACGCAGGCGGGCUUUUAAGUGAGAUGUGAAAUCCCCGGGCUUAACCUGGGAAUAGCAUUUGAGACUGGGAGUCUAGAGUACUUUAGGGGGGGGUGGAAUUCCUAGUGUAGCGGUGAAAUGCGUAGAUAUUAGGAAGAAUACCAGUGGCGAAGGCGACUUUCUGGACAAAUACUGACGCUCAUGUGCGAAAGCGUGGGGAGCAAACAGG
This 253-nucleotide ribosomal RNA is filed under the name uncultured bacterium. RNAcentral's name for it is "partial 16S ribosomal RNA". It matches the Rfam family "Bacterial small subunit ribosomal RNA", at positions 524 to 776 of the family's 1533-position model. The record is from RNAcentral.